AUGGCGCCAACACGGUGGCUACUGCUUAUCUGCCUCGCCGGUGCGGCGGGUGGCGUACUCCAAGCUCGCGCCCAGCCUGACAGCAACGGGUUCAUAAGCAUAGAUUGCGGUCUUCCAGGCAAGACGAGCUACGUGGAAGACACCACCAAACUCCCCUAUACUCCAGAUGCCGGCUUCACCGACACCGGCACCAACCACAACAUCUCGGCCGAGUAUUUAACCCCGUCAACCGGCAGGAGCUGGCACAAUCUGCGAAGCUUCGCCACUGGCCCGCGCAAUUGCUACACGCUCCUCUCUCUCACGUCCGGUCUCAAGUACCUCGUCCGAGCCAAGUUCAUGUAUGGAAACUACGACGGCCUUGACAGGCCACCCGUGUUUGACCUCUAUGUUGGCGUCAACCUGUGGACGACGGUAAACAUCACGGGCCCGGAAGGGAUGGUGUCCACAGAGGUUAUUAUUGUGGUGCCGGACGACUUCUUGCACGUCUGCCUGGUGAACACCGGCGCCGGGACGCCCUUCAUGUCUAGCCUGGAGCUCAGGCUGCUGCACAGGACACUCUACCCGCAGGCAACCACGACGCAGGGCCUCGUCCUCUCGUCCAGGCUCAACUUCGGCCCAACUAGCGAAAACAAUGUCAUCAGGUGA
This 645-nucleotide ribosomal RNA is filed under the name Triticum aestivum (bread wheat). RNAcentral describes it as "partial small subunit ribosomal RNA". The record is from RNAcentral. Lineage: Eukaryota; Viridiplantae; Streptophyta; Magnoliopsida; Poales; Poaceae.